This 135-nucleotide small nucleolar RNA is filed under the name Cyprinodon variegatus (sheepshead minnow). RNAcentral describes it as "Small nucleolar RNA SNORA13 (ENSCVAG00000018827.1)". It matches the Rfam family "Small nucleolar RNA SNORA13". Rfam says of the family: ACA13 is a member of the H/ACA class of snoRNA that guide the sites of modification of uridines to pseudouridines. The record is from Rfam by way of RNAcentral. Lineage: Eukaryota; Metazoa; Chordata; Actinopteri; Cyprinodontiformes; Cyprinodontidae.
UGCCUUUAUGUGUUGCCCAUCCAUUGCUCUCCACAAUGGAUGCGGUGUCAGAAAAGGCAUACAUCAAAUCUUGGUCCGGCCUUGGCAGGGUUCCCCAGCGGUGACCUUGUUCUAAGUUCUAUACCAAGAACAGAA